RNAcentral lists this long non-coding RNA (886 nucleotides) under Volvox carteri. RNAcentral describes it as "long non-coding RNA (VCAR_LNC000919)". Lineage: Eukaryota; Viridiplantae; Chlorophyta; Chlorophyceae; Chlamydomonadales; Volvocaceae. The record is from RNAcentral.
AUUGCUUGCCCAGAGCUUUUAAGGUUGCUUUCCUAGCUGCUUGCCCAAGCUUUUAAAGUCUUGCUGCUUUAUGCGCUGCCAAAGCUGGUGAAGAAUACUGGGAUUACUUUUCACAACCGUAUCAACCACCGCACCCUGCCUGUGAUCUUUGCGAAACAACUGCAGAAAGCGAUAAGCGCCCGCUGUUAUGCCUAUCACCAGCUUCCCCCUAGCAUACGCCACGUGCCAGCUUAGCACAUUCAGUUGAACACCGACGCUGCAGAAAAUGGUAAUUUAACAAUCUAGUGCCUAUCCUAACAUACCCUCCCUGAGCACAUCAGGGCAACGGGUGACUUUCCCGAGCAGUUCAUCGCUGCGAAGGUGUUCGCAACCGUGUUCAAAAAGACGGGUGACAGCUCUGUUGUGGGCAAUUACCAAGGCAUAGCGGUAGGCGGGACCUUGGAAAAAUGCUGCUCGUCUAUUAUCCUCCGAAGAUUGUUCCAAGCAGGCCAGGACCUCAAGCUUAGGCAUCGAGCAGAGGCUGGUUUUAGGGUUUAGGACUUCGGCACCAUGCAUCAUCUUUUCGUCAAGCGGCACCGCAUGCAGGUGAAUUGCUAACACGGGGCUCGCCCGCUGUUUGUUAUCUUGUAUCGAGGUUGCCUAACCAGGGAGCAUUGCUCCACCAAACCAUUCGGUGAGAAACCGAUGGCCUCAUGCCGCUUGUCCAUAUUGGGUCAACUCACGGAUGGAGGUUUAAGCUAGGGUUUAUAUUAGUGGGGGCUCAGCAGCCCUAAACUGCAAGUGGUGGGACCUUAAGAUGCAUCGUCCCCAGAUAUGGUGUUCAAAAAUCUUAUCAAAUCUUUUUAAAAGUCCUGUUGGCCACAAGAGCUCGACUGUUCGGUGCGGG